GACGUAGGAGGCGAGCGUUGUCCGGAUUUACUGGCGUAAAGCGCGCGCAGGCGGUCGCGCAGGUCAUCUGUGAAAGCCCCCGGCUCAACCGGGCGGAUGCGGGUGAAACCGCGCGACUGGAGGGUGGGAGAGGUCGGCGGAAUUCCCGGUGUAGUGGUGAAAUGCGUAGAUAUCGGGAGGAACACCCGUAGCGAAGGCGGCCGACUGGACCACACCUGACGCUGAGGCGCGAAGGCCAGGGGAGCGAACGGG
Molecule: ribosomal RNA, 252 nt
Filed under: uncultured bacterium
Lineage: Bacteria
Description: partial 16S ribosomal RNA
Rfam family: Bacterial small subunit ribosomal RNA
Source: RNAcentral